AUGGGCUCCAGGCUCCUCUGCUGGGUGGCCCUUGGUCUCCUGGGAGCAGGCCCUGCGGAUGCUGAGGUCACUCAAAGCCCCAGACACCUGGUCACAGCAAGGGGUCAGCCAGUGACCCUGAGAUGCAACUAUGAAUCUGGACACAGCUCAGUGUACUGGUACCAACAAAUGCUGGACCAGGGCCCACAAUUCCUUGUUCAGUAUUACAAUGGGAAAGAGUAUCAAAAAGGCAGCAUCCCUGCGCACUUCUCAGUCCAACAGUUCAAGGACAGCUCCAGCUCUGAGCUGAGUGUGAGCUCCGUGGAAGGGGCCGACUCUGCCCUGUACCUCUGUGCCAGCAGCCUCACAGCCCCGCCUGCUCAGCUGCCUCCUGCACAAAAACAGCCCUGGCCAGCCCAGGAAGUGGCAGCAAGGGAGGCUGCCAGCCAGCAGGGCCCAGACUAUAAGGACAUUCCCUUUAUGACGGUAUUUGGGAUAGGUUGA
This is a non-coding RNA of Sorex araneus (European shrew), 483 nucleotides long. Lineage: Eukaryota; Metazoa; Chordata; Mammalia; Eulipotyphla; Soricidae. The record is from the annotation of a RefSeq genome assembly.